This 390-nucleotide long non-coding RNA is filed under the name Nicotiana benthamiana. Its description in RNAcentral is "long non-coding RNA (NBEN_LNC011674)". The record is from RNAcentral. Lineage: Eukaryota; Viridiplantae; Streptophyta; Magnoliopsida; Solanales; Solanaceae.
CAAAUCCUGUUCCUCCUUAUCUGAAAAGAGCUGGCUUUAGGCCAUCUAAGCUCGAGGAUUUUGGAGAUGGAGGUGCAUUCCCUGAAAUUCACUAUGCUCAGUAUCCACUGGAUAUGGGCAGAAAGAAGGAUUGGAAACCUGGGGGGAAGACCUUGCCUGUUACAGUGGAUGAGCAUGGUGAUGUGAGGUAUGAUGCGAUUGUGCUAUGCUCAGUAUCCACUGGAUAUGGGAAGAAAGAAGGAUUGGAAACCUGGGGGGAAGACCUUGCCUGUUACAGUGGAUGAGCAUGGUGAUGUGAGGUAUGAUGCGAUUGUGAGGCAGAAUGAGAAUUCGAAAAAAAUUGUUUAUUCUCAGCAUAAAGAUCUUAUCCCAAAGUUUGUGAAGGACGAG